AACGAACGCUGGCGGCAUGCCUAACACAUGCAAGUCGAACGAGACCUUCGGGUCUAGUGGCGCACGGGUGCGUAACGCGUGGGAACCUGCCCUUAGGUUCGGAAUAACUCCCCGAAAGGGGUGCUAAUACCGGAUAAGGUCUUCUGACCAAAGAUUUAUCGCCUUUGGAUGGUCCCUCGUUGGAUUAGCUAGUUGGUAGGGUAAAAGCCUACCAAGGCGACGAUCCAUAGCUGGUCUGAGAGGAUGAUCAGCCACACUGGGACUGAGACACGGCCCAGACUCCUACGGGAGGCAGCAGUGGGGAAUAGUGGACAAUGGGCGAAAGCAUGAUCCAGCAAUGACGCGUGAGUGAUGAAGGCCUUAGGGUUGUAAAGCUCUUUUAACCGGGAUGAUAAUGACAGUACCGGGAGAAUAAGCCCCGGCUAACUCCGUG
Molecule: ribosomal RNA, 433 nt
Filed under: uncultured bacterium
Lineage: Bacteria
Description: partial 16S ribosomal RNA
Rfam family: Bacterial small subunit ribosomal RNA
Source: RNAcentral